Molecule: ribosomal RNA, 757 nt
Filed under: uncultured Candidatus Poseidoniales archaeon
Lineage: Archaea; Methanobacteriati; Thermoplasmatota; Candidatus Poseidoniia; Candidatus Poseidoniales
Description: SSU rRNA
Rfam family: Archaeal small subunit ribosomal RNA
Source: RNAcentral
CUGCCGGAGGCGACCGCUGUGGGAGUCCGAUUAAGCCAUGCGAGUCGAGAGAAUAAGAUUCUCGGCAUACCGCUCAGUAACACGUGGAUAACUGCCCUGUGCUGGGGGAUAACCUCGCGAAAGUGAGAACAAUACCCCAUGGGUCACUAUGCCUGGAACGGUUAGUGGCUGAAAGCUCCGGCGGCACAGGAUGGGUCUGCGGCGUAUCAGGUCGUAGGGGGUGUAACGUACCUCCUAGCCUUCGACGCGUACGGGUUGUGAGAGCAAUUGCCCGGAGAUGGAUUCUGAGACACGAAUCCAGGCCCUACGGGGCGCAGCAGGCGCGAAAACUUGACAAUGCGAGAAAUCGUGAUCAGGGGACUCCAGUUGGCUGGAUCAAAAGUCCAGUCUGAACCGACUUUAAAUCGGUCGGGUAAUAGGGGCGGGAAAGACCGGUGCCAGCCGCCGCGGUAAUACCGGCGCCCCAAGUGGUCGUCACUAUUAUUGGGCCUAAAACGUCCGUAGCCGGUUUGGUAAAUCCGUGGGUAAAUCAGACAGCCCAACUGUCUGAAUUCUGCGGGGACUGCCAGACUUGAGACCGGGAGAGGUGCGGGGUACUUGCGGGGUACCGGUAAAAUGGGAUCAUCCCGUAGAGACCACCUGUUGCGAAGGCGCCGCACUAGAACGGAUCUGACGGUCAGGGACGAAGCCUAGGGGCACGAACCGGAUUAGAUACCCGGGUAGUCCUAGUGUAAACGCUGUGGACUUGGUGUCGGGG